CCAACACCCGCGGCCCCACCUGCCGGGAGUGAGUGUCCCCCAGCCUCCCCCGCCCCUGCCCGCGCUGCCGCCAGGCUGGUGACCCCCGCCCGCCCCCAGGUCCGCGCAGGACCACUUCCUCCCGGACCUGCACCACCUGCGCCUGGAGCUGGAGGAGGCGACCGCGGCCGAGGGCCACCCCGCCCGCUUCGGCUUCAACCCCCUCGAGUUCGAGAACUUCAGCUGGAGGGGCUACGCGCAGAUGACGCCCACCCAGCCCAGCAUCCAGGUGCGGCUGAACGUCAGCUCCCCCGACCUCUUCCGGCUCGUCUUCCGCUACGUCAACCGCGGCCCCGCGACCGUGAGCGGGCACGUGUCCGUGCGGGAGGACGGCAGCGCCCCCGCCUGCGCCAACUGCACGGAGCAGAGCCAGCGCGUGGCCUUCGCGCCCAGCGCGGAGCCCGCCUUCGUCACCGUGCCGCAGCGGGGCCUCGGCGAGCCCUUCGUGCUGAACCCCGGCGCCUGNNNNNNNNNNNNNNNNNNNNNNNNNNNNNNNNNNNNNNNNNNNNNNNNNNUGCCCAGCGCCUACUACGAGGCGGCCCUGCUGCAGCUGCGCGUGGCCGAGCCCUGCGUGCACCGGCCCCCCGCCCGGAGCGCCGGCGAGAAGUGAGGGCCGCCCGGGGCGGGGUCCUGGGCGGGCACAGCUCGGCCAGCGCCCCGCUGACCGCGCCCUGUGUGCCCGCAGCUGCCUGCUCUACACCCACCUGCCCCUGGACGGCAUCCCCUCAGCCGCCGGGCCUGACGCCCUGUGUCGCCACGACAACAGCCUGCCCAGGCCCUGCCCCACGGAGCAGCUCAACCCCUCGCACCCGCUGCUGGCCGCCUGCCGGGGCAGUGAUGUGGACGUCCAGCUGCAGGUGGCGGUGCCGCGGCCCGGCCGCUACGCCCUGGUGCUGGAGUACGCCAACGAGGACGGCCGCCAGGAGGUGGGCGUGGCCGUGCACACGCGCCAGCGGGCGCCGCAGCAGGCCGCGCUCAGCCUCCACGCCUGCCCGUACAGCACCCUGUGCCGGGCCACCGCUGUGGAUGCACAGCACCGCCUGGCCACCUUCCACGUGGACACGGAGGCCAGCGUCCGGCUCGCGGCCGAGCAGGCGAACUUCUUCCUGGUAAGGCCCAAAGCCCCGCAGGACCUCGGGGCGCGCAAGAGGCUUGCGGCGAGCCCCGGGCACCCGUCCCGCUCAAGCCCCUGGCCGCCUCGCCGGGUUUUAGCCCAUGGCAUUGCGGUCACGGCCAGGCUGACGCUUUCCACCAAAGUGCCUCGUGCACGCAGAGACGCUCAGGCCGGGCCCCGGAGGCCGCACCAGGUGACUGGGGGCCGCGUGGUCCUGCCCGUGACGGGCGGGGGGAGGUAUGUGUGCUGGUUAUC
This 1408-nucleotide long non-coding RNA is filed under the name Dasypus novemcinctus (nine-banded armadillo). Its description in RNAcentral is "lncRNA (ENSDNOG00000052957.1)". The record is from RNAcentral. Lineage: Eukaryota; Metazoa; Chordata; Mammalia; Cingulata; Dasypodidae.